RNAcentral lists this transfer RNA (71 nucleotides) under Gowidon longirostris (Long-snouted lashtail). RNAcentral's name for it is "tRNA-Met". Lineage: Eukaryota; Metazoa; Chordata; Lepidosauria; Squamata; Agamidae. The record is from RNAcentral.
GCUAGGGUAUGCUACAUUUAAGCAGUUGGGCUCAUGCCCCAAAAACGGUGAUACACCCCCUAACACUUGCU